GAAGAGGAGCGCGCUCCCCGCCAGCUUUGUGACGUCAUGGGGGUCAGACAAUCCCUUCCAUCAGCGCGAGCUAGCGGAUUGGCUCCACGGACCCGCCUCACGUGACCCCGCCCAGUUGUUGGGUGGAAGGUCGCGGUGCGCGGAGCUGGACGUCCGCGCUCGGCCGGUGGGCCGGCGGUGGCCCGCAGUGGGAGGACGCUCUUGAACCAGCCCCAGUAUCGCAGCGAAGUACUGGAGAUCAAACUCGGGACCAAUGUGAGACCUUUUGAAUGUACCAUCCCAUUUAUUGUUACCUGGGAAUGUAAAGGCAUUAGCGUGUCCUCCCACAAUGCCUGCUUAAGGUCAGCGCCCAAGGAAGAGUCCCACCCAUGUUGGUACUGCAAAUAAUGAUAUGUCUCAUAAAUAAUUGGAUUUUCUUUUAAAAAUGUUUUACUCUGAACUGAAUAAAUACCUGGCCUGUGUCUCCAUGUUUCCUGUGUCUGUGCGUGUGUGUGGGAGGGGUGGUAAGGGUAGGGUGGGAAGAAGUUUGCAGAAAUUAUCCA
Molecule: long non-coding RNA, 542 nt
Filed under: Dasypus novemcinctus (nine-banded armadillo)
Lineage: Eukaryota; Metazoa; Chordata; Mammalia; Cingulata; Dasypodidae
Description: lncRNA (ENSDNOG00000050574.1)
Source: RNAcentral